Long non-coding RNA from Octopus sinensis (East Asian common octopus), 191 nucleotides. RefSeq lists it as uncharacterized. Lineage: Eukaryota; Metazoa; Mollusca; Cephalopoda; Octopoda; Octopodidae. The record is from RefSeq and is a predicted model, not a curated record. The transcript is spliced from 4 exons.
AUUCAAACGGGGACUUAUUCCAUUCAGUAUCAUGUUUAUCAUAGAGAUUGUAUAACAAAUUAUACUUUACACUUCUAUAUUUAGCUGUGCAGGUAUAUUCCUUAUUUUUGCUUCUGGUGUCUUCUGCCUUUCUAUUAGAAACGUUUACCUGGGAAUUUACUUAAAAAUAAAUUGCCUUUGUCUCCAUUGGG